UAGACUUCUCUUUUCUCAUGCUUCCUCAUUG
Molecule: non-coding RNA, 31 nt
Filed under: Mus musculus (house mouse)
Lineage: Eukaryota; Metazoa; Chordata; Mammalia; Rodentia; Muridae
Source: RNAcentral